GAUGAAGAACGUAGUGAAAUGCGAUAAGUAAUGUGAAUUGCAGAAUUCAGUGAAUCAUCGAAUCUUUGAACGCACCUUGCGCCCUUUGGCUAUUCCGAAGGGCAUGCCUGUUUGAGUAUCGUGAACACCUCAACUCUCAUGGUUUGCCAUGAUGAGCUUGGACUUUGGGGGUUUUGCUGGCCUUUGGUCGGCUCCUCUCAAACGGAUCAGCUUUCCAGUGUUUGGUGGCGUCACGGGUGUGAUAACUAUCUACGCCUGUGGUUUUCUGCCAGAUAACCUUCAGCGAUGGAGGUUCGCUGGGGCUCAUAAAUGUCUCUCUUCAGUGGAGACAGCUUUUUGGACGUUUGAUCUCAAAUCAGGUAGGUCUACCCGCUGAACUUAAGCAUAUCAAUAAGCGGAGGA
Molecule: unclassified non-coding RNA, 402 nt
Filed under: soil metagenome
Description: partial contains 5.8S ribosomal RNA, internal transcribed spacer 2, and large subunit ribosomal RNA
Rfam family: 5.8S ribosomal RNA (bases 1-121)
Source: RNAcentral